UAAUCGGGUGAGGGGUAUGUGAUAAUCUUCCCUCCGGAGGGGGAUGACCGUUAGAAACGGUCAUUAAUCAGCCAAAAGCCUAUGGGUGUAAUGAUUUUCGCGUUAGGAAGGCCUUUCGUCUGAUUAGUUAGUAUUGUGUAAGGGCUCAACAAUCAUCCAUCAGUAUCUGGUGCCGAGGGAGAUCAAGCUCACUGCUCUGCGACAGGGACGAAAAUCCGACUGGAGGCAGCAGUGGGGAAUUAUUUCCAGAGGACGAAAGCACUCGGAGCAACGCCGGUGAGGGCGAAGGCUAGUGGUCUGUAAACUUUCACAAGGAAAAAGUUAUGACGGUAAAAGAGGAAUAACACCCGGGAAAUUUCGUCCCUCAGGCGGGGUUAUUCGGGAAGGCCAGCCUUAUUCCGAAAAAAUGGGCGCAAAGGCUUCGCAGGCAGGUUUUCAAGUAUGCUGUUAAAAAGUGGAGCUUAACUUCAUCAUGGCAGUGGAAAUGAAAAAAGCUUAGGUGAGUAGGGCCGAAGGAAUUCCCGGGGGAGCGGUGAAAUCGUCAGAAAUCGGGAAGAACCCCACCGGGGAGGUGGUUGGUGGGGCGAUAUGACCUCAUGGACGAAAACAAGGGGGAGAGAUGGGAUUAGGUCCCCCACUAGUC
Molecule: ribosomal RNA, 643 nt
Filed under: uncultured marine microorganism
Description: bacterial SSU rRNA
Rfam family: Bacterial small subunit ribosomal RNA
Source: RNAcentral